ACACCCCUUCUUACACGCUCUUAGUUCUCACAUCCUAACAUCCAAAAGAGUUUGGACGUCCCACCAUCCAAUGCCCAAAAAGUUGGUUGGGCGUCCCCCUUUUCUCCAAGUCUGAUUUUUGGUGCUUGAUUUUUCUAAGAUCAAGAAAGAAAAAUCAAGAAGAAGAAGAAAAAGGAAGUUUAAGAGAAAGGAUCAAAGGUU
Molecule: long non-coding RNA, 201 nt
Filed under: Elaeis guineensis (African oil palm)
Lineage: Eukaryota; Viridiplantae; Streptophyta; Magnoliopsida; Arecales; Arecaceae
Description: long non-coding RNA (EGUI_LNC065667)
Source: RNAcentral